GACGAACGCUGGCGGCGUGCUUAACACAUGCAAGUCGAACGGAAAGGCCCUGCUUUUGUGGGGUGCUCGAGUGGCGAACGGGUGAGUAACACGUGAGUAACCUGCCCUUGACUUUGGGAUAACUUCAGGAAACUGGGGCUAAUACCGGAUAGGAGCUCCUGCUGCAUGGUGGGGGUUGGAAAGUUUCGGCGGUUGGGGAUGGACUCGCGGCUUAUCAGCUUGUUGGUGGGGUAGUGGCUUACCAAGGCUUUGACGGGUAGCCGGCCUGAGAGGGUGACCGGCCACAUUGGGACUGAGAUACGGCCCAGACUGCUACGGGAGGCAGCAGUGGGGAAUAUUGCACAAUGGGCGGAAGCCUGAUGCAGCAACGCCGCGUGCGGGAUGACGGCCUUCGGGUUGUAAACCGCUUUCGCAUGUGACGAAGCGUGAGUGACGGUAAUGGGUAAAGAAGCACCGGCUAACUACGUG
RNAcentral lists this ribosomal RNA (468 nucleotides) under uncultured bacterium. Its description in RNAcentral is "partial 16S ribosomal RNA". It matches the Rfam family "Bacterial small subunit ribosomal RNA", at positions 28 to 507 of the family's 1533-position model. The record is from RNAcentral.